This 459-nucleotide ribosomal RNA is filed under the name Limia melanogaster (blackbelly limia). RNAcentral's name for it is "partial 12S ribosomal RNA". It matches the Rfam family "Bacterial small subunit ribosomal RNA", at positions 875 to 1533 of the family's 1533-position model. Lineage: Eukaryota; Metazoa; Chordata; Actinopteri; Cyprinodontiformes; Poeciliidae. The record is from RNAcentral.
GGGAACUACGAGCAUAAGCUUAAAACCCAAAGGACUUGGCGGUGCUUUAGACCCCCCUAGAGGAGCCUGUUCUAGAACCGAUAACCCCCGUUCGACCUCACCUUUUCUUGUUCAUCCCGUCUAUAUACCGCCGUCGUCAGCAUACCCUGUGAAGGAAACAUAGUAGGCAAAACUGGUAAAACCCAAAACGCCAGGUCGAGGUGUAGCAUACGAAAAGGAAAGAAAUGGGCUACAUUUCCUCUUACAGGAAAUACGAAUUGUGUCAUGAAACAACACAUGAAGGAGGAUUUAGCAGUAAGCAGAAAACAGAGUGUUCUGCUGAACCCGGCCCUGAAGCACGCACACACCGCCCGUCACCCUCCCCAAAUCAAAAUACACCCUUACUUAAAAAUUCACCAGAACUAAAGGGGAGGUAAGUCGUAACAUGGUAAGUGUACCGGAAGGUGCACUUGGAAUAAA